GGGGCUCGCACCCCUACUGGUCCCUAUAGGGGAUCCUAGGGGGGGUGUUCCCAUCCUAUAUGGCCCCGGGAGGGGGUCUAUAGGGUCCUGGGGGGGGCUUUGUCCCUGUAUGGGGGCAGCAGCCCCUAUAUGUCUGCCUGUGUGCCCCUUAUAGCGCCCUGCAGAGGGGGAGCCCCCCUGGGCUGCCCUAAAGGGCCCUAUAGGGGCAGGGGUCUCCAUACGUUCCCAUAUAGGGCCCUGUGCGAGGGGACCUAUAGGGCUGGGGCUCCCCUAUAGGGCUGGGGACCCUCUCCUCCCCCUAUACAGCCCUUGGGGGGGCGACCCUAUACGUUCCUGGGGUGGUCUGGGUGCUUUCCAUAGGGUCUUGGGUUCUUCCUUAUUUUUUUUUGUGCUCUUUCCAGACUUUUUAAUCAUUUUCCCCAUUUUUUAUGUCGUUUCCCAGGCUUUUUGCCAUCCCUCUCCAACCCCAACGUGAGCCAAACUCUUUUUUUCAGCCUUUUUGCCCUAAAUCGGCGCGCUUUUAGGGCUUUGUGUUAUUGGGGCGGUCGUUUUGGGGGCAAAUCAGGCAGAAAUGGGAAGCUCGGGAAGGAUUCAGCUCCACAAGCCUGGCGUUGGGGCUCCCUCUGCAGCCAAAAGAGGGAAAAAAAAGAGAAUUUAGGGACACUGCGUCCCGGGGAGCUUGGGGGGGGGUCUGAAACGCUUCCACCUCCAGCUUUUUGGGGCUAAAACAUCAGGAAUUGAGCACUGGAUGUCCCCUUAUGUUCCAGCAAACUGAUAUUUAUUUACCCAAGUCGAUAUUUAAUUACCCAAAUCAGUAGUUAUUUACCCAAAUCCAUAUUUAAUGCAUUUUGACUCAUUUUGGGGCUCCUUUGGACCCAUUUUGGGGCUCCUUUUCCACCCAUUUGUUCCCACCAUGCUCCUUUUUGACCCAUUUUUUCUCCCUCGCACUACUUUUGACCCAUUUUUCCCACCCUACACUUCAUGUGGGUGUUCCUUUUGACCCAUUUUGGGCUCCUUUUCACCCAUUUUUCUCCGCCACUCUCCAUCCCGACCCAUUUUUUUUUCCCCACAUCCCAUUUUGGGGCUCCUUUUGACCCAUUUUUUCCCCACCACACUACUUUUCCACCCAUUUUUCCCACCCCACAUCUCAUUCUGGGUCUCCUUUUGACCCAUUUUUCCCCCACACACUCCUUUUUGACCCAUUUUUUCCCCCACAUCCCAUUUUGGGGCUCCUUUCCACCCAUUCUGGGGCUCCUUUCAACCCACUUUUCCCCACCACUCUCCCUUUUGGCUUGUUUUUUCCCCCCUCCACUCAUUUUGGGGCCCCUUUUCACCCAUUUUCCCCCACCACUCUCCUUUUUGACCCAAUUUUUCCCCCCACAUCCCAUUUUGUGUCUCCUUUCUACCCAUUUUUCCCCCCACAACCUCCUUUUUGACCUGAUUUUUUCCCCCACAUCCCUUUUUGGGGCUCCUUUUGACCCAUUCUGAGGCUCCUUUCCACCCAUUUCCCCCCCCCACUCUCCAUUUUGACCCAUUUUUCCCACCUCACAUCCCAUUUUGGGGCUCCUUUUGACCCACUUUCCCCCCACACACUACUUUUUGACCCAGUUUUUCCCCACACAUCCCAUUUUGGGGCUCCUUUCCACCCAUUUUGGGGCCCCUUUUGACCCACUUUUCCCCACCACUCUCCUUUUUGACCCAUUUUUCCCACUGCACGUCCCAUUCUGGGGCUCCUUUCCAUCCAUUUUUCCCCCCACACACUACUUUUUGACCCAAUUUUUCCCCCCACA
This 1790-nucleotide long non-coding RNA is filed under the name Anas platyrhynchos platyrhynchos (common mallard). Its description in RNAcentral is "lncRNA (ENSAPLG00000029360.1)". Lineage: Eukaryota; Metazoa; Chordata; Aves; Anseriformes; Anatidae. The record is from RNAcentral.